Molecule: long non-coding RNA, 6926 nt
Filed under: Setaria italica (foxtail millet)
Lineage: Eukaryota; Viridiplantae; Streptophyta; Magnoliopsida; Poales; Poaceae
Description: long non-coding RNA (SITA_LNC004286)
Source: RNAcentral
AAUUCAAGUUGAGAUUUUGCAGGGGAACACACCCAGUACGCCACGAUAACAUAGACAGAAUAUCAAAUGACUUCUCAGGUUAAAGCAGCAGCACUUCAUUCGCACUGUACAAAUAAUCUGCACCAGAAGCCUAACAAAAUCCUAGGCAACAAUGCAUAAUACUUGUCAACACCUAGAAGCUCUCCCUUUUAGCUUCUGCAAUACACACUCACGGGGAAAGAUUCGCUCAAAUAUACAAGCACAUACCAGUGGCUGCAAGAUGUUGGCCAGUGCACUCUUUUCUGAUAUCAUCCUAGGUUCCUGAGUUAGAAGCACCAUGGUUAUGAACUGCUUGAAAUCUUCUGUUGAUAAUUAAAAAUAAGGAAGCAUGCUAUCAGCUGUCAGCUUAUUGGUAGUUAGCAGCAGCAUGAUAAAUGGGCUGUGCAAGGAACCACUUGUCCCCCGAGAGCGUCCAGUGUCACGAAUAUUUCUAUUCCGCGCAAUACAAGCAAUUUAACACCAACCCCCCCUCUAUUACUCGUAGUUGCAUUAUUGGCAUGAUGCUAAAUUGACAAUACAAAUUUUUCGAUAAGGAUAAAGUGCAUAAUGUUUCAAAUUUUCGCUCCAUUACUUGUAUUUACAUAUUGUUUCGUAAAGGGAAAUUCAUCGUGACUAAAUUGCAUCAUAGGCACAGUGACUAGCAAGGUAAGGUCUAUGACAAACCCCUGACAUCCUUGAUCUGCAAGCCUGCAAUGCAUACUUUUAGUUGAGAAUGCAUGCUCACCAUAACAGAAAUACAGUAUUCAUACUUUUAGCUGAGAACAGGGGCGGAACCAGGAUGAACACCUGGGGGGGCUAAAUAGUAAAGAUUAAGAGCUAGGACUAGAAAUUAAUUGUGAUUUGAGACUUUAUCUACAGUAUUUUACAGGUAAAACAAGGCUCUCGGGGGGGUGCAGCCCCCUAGCCCUCCCCUUGGAUCCGCCCCUGGUUGAGAACAAGGGUUUUGCUAAGGUACUCCCAAAUGACUGUGGACCGUUGAUCUAAUAACAUAUUACCUCAUAGGAAGUAAUAUUAUAUCUAUUUUUUGAAUCUGAAAAUAGGAAAAGUAUUUUUCUAUUAGAUCUAACUUCCACGAUUGUACUAUAUCAUAUCUAAGUUUCUUUUUUGCCUCCCACGUGAACAUGGAUGGCGGUUCUGGUUCAAAAAACAAGAGAGAGAAGAACAUGACACCUUUAUGUGACAUGGAUCCGUUCGAAAAAAAUGUGACAUAAGUCAAGUAAAUGUGUUGCACGGAGAAAUGUGUCAUGGCCAUCUCUUUUUUUCCCCAUGCGGAUGCAGAUGUUUCGUUUCAAAGAAGAAAUGCAGAUGCAGAUGUUUCGUUUCAAAGAAGAAAUGCAGAUGCAGAUGUUAAAUUGCAUGUCAUAUGGAGAUGUUCAAGUAAACAUGAAGAUGUUCAAGUAUUUUUUUUUCUCCAUCCAGAUGCGGCCGUGUGUUCUGUUAAAAUGUUAUGACUUCGGUUGCAACUAAAAGAAAAGAAAUUGCAUGUUCACAUGCAGAUGUUGGACCUGUUCCUCCGAUCCUAAAUUGAAGGAAGCCGUGAUAAUGGGGAGCCGGUUGUUUCUUUUUUUUGUUGCUUUUUUAAUAUUUAAGGGCCUCAUUAGGUAAUCGGUGCACUGUAGCAUUGCCCUGAGAACAAACCUUUUUUCUGUAAGCUACUGCAGAUCCUACUGAUUUACUGGUGUUUAUCUUUCAGUAAUUAUUCUAGUGAUGCAGUUUCAAUAUUUUUAGUUGAGAGCAAACCCCUUGUUUGACCUAAGGCAGAUCCUAUUGAUUUACUGAUGUUUUUCCAGUAACCAUCUAGUAAGAAAAAAUGGAUGCUGUGAUGGUCCUAUUGCUACUAAUUGUCUAGCUAAUAAAAUAUGAUAAUGUGAAUGCUCCAACUCCAACAGUGCAAAAUUUUAUUGAGAACUGACAUGCCAAAUAUAAACAAAAAUUCUCUGAAGGACCACAAUAUUCAUGGAACAGCUCCCUUAUUGCAUCACGCACGGCAGAUACAUACUUCUCUGCAUCAGUACCAAAAGCUCGCUUUAGACGGAACUCAACAAAAGUAAUUUUGAAUCUCGGAUCAAGAACAACAGGUAUUGACAGCCACAAGUAUGAACUUUGCCAAUACUCAUUGAACGCUUCUUGCAUCACCCAAACCAUGUUAGCAAGUUCAGUGUGAUCAGAGGAUGCUUCUUCUUGCAAAGUUGUUCUAACUUUCCAUAGUUCAUUGAAGUAUAUAUUUGCUGUGGGGCAAACAGGACCAGAAAUUACUUCAACAGCACGAUAAAAACCCCUCAGUAUCCUGCAAACAGAUUCCACAGUUUUACUAUCUUCUGCAGAUAACAAUUCUUCUGAGGGGAAUGCCUUCUUGAAAUGCAGAAAAACUUCAAGCCUGAAGUAAAUUUUAUGCCACCAUUUCGCAUCCUCCUGUGGGCACUUCAAUCCAAUAUGUGUAACAACUUCUAAAAGUUGCUGCCGAGUCAGCGAUGAGGACAUUUGUACCUGAAUAAAUUUCUCUAGUAUGUCACCGACAUGGUGAAGCACUGGUUGCCCUUUUGAAACAAUGCUGUUAAGCACAUCAUCCACACAAGCAACAUUGUACAGUUCACCUCUAAUAGGAAGGCAUUUUCUUUGGAUGAGCAAGUCCAUCAGCUUUGAGGUACCCUCAUCCCUUCUAAUUGCAUUGACAGAUGUCAAGCUGAAAUGCUUCUGAUCAAGAUUCCAAUCUCUUAAAGCUUCCUGUAUGACAUUAAAUGGACCACUAUCAGAAUCCAGUACGCAGGCCUCCUUAAAAUGUAUCAUCCUUUCUAAACUAGUAGGUGAGGACCAAAACACACCAAAUUUGAUGAUUUUCCUUAAGUUUACAUUCAGAAUCAAUAAAAUGCACUGCCAGACAGAGAUACUUCACUGAGGCCUCAGCUCCAUGAGGAGCCCACACACUUGCUGAUAAGGAAACCCGAUGGGAUAAAAGAGCAAUCUUUUUCCUUUAGAUCAGUCUUUUCUUUCUGAAAUAAAAGAGUUGAAUACUCUUCUAUAUCAAUGCUCGAAGCCAUGUUAAAUGCAGGGUUCAGGCUCUUUGCAAACCUUUUCAUUUCUUCAUGUUCCACAAUUGACAAGGGAUAGCCAUGUUCCACAAUUGACAAGAGAUAGCCUGAUCAUCAUGUUGCUCGAUGUCGGCGCAGGCAUCAACUUCGGCGACUGCGACGGAUUAUCUGGCCCAACAUGAUCGCCGCCGGCGUCAGGACGGCCGACGACCCAGCAGCACCCAUCGGCCCCGCGCUCGCAGGGUUCGCCGGUGCACGUGCGUUCAUGCGGCGCAACCUCGCCGUCGUGGGGCUCGUCAUGGUAUCCUCUGCUUUCACAGCGGUUGACAGGCCCGGCGUUCUCCUUCAUGAUAUUUGUCCUGCUGGUGUUCGGAGUCUCUGUGAUCAACAUCGGAGUCCAUGGUGCCUUAUGAAAGCAAUUUCAAGCUAUCCUAAAAUAAGUAGACAUUUGUAUAAACUAGAAUAACCAUAUAACUGGUGCGUAUUUCAAACAGCUCAUCCUUUGGAUUUAUUCAAAUCAUCAGCCUAGCGAAAAAAAAGUCUAGGCCAUCAAACAGACGAGCCUGCUUACAUUCUCGGACCAGUAGCUUUUGAAGAAGCUCUGAGUAAGAAACUGAGCAAUAACAACGACGACAGUGGAACAGAAUUUCCAGAGCCCGCCUAUCCUAGACUUAGAGAAAACCGGCCAUUGCCAUGGAGACGCCGGCGAACAUGACGACGGCCAGUCCGAAAGCCACCACCGGGGUGACGGCGCCAACGGCGACGGCAUGGACAGCUGAGGAUGCGGCCACGAUCCCCAGCAUAGAUGAGAGGCUGCCACGACCGCGACGGUGCUCGUUUCCCCGCCCGUCGUCUUCACCGGACGCCUUCUUGGCUCCCGGUGAAGCCAGCAAUCAGACUUCACCGCCUUGGCACCUCUUGAGUCGUCUGGUGAACCAGUUGAAAGAUGAUAGAUGGUAGGAUAUCCAAGAGAGUUCAACUGUGCUGACAACACUACUAUCCGAAGUUCCCAACAGCAUGGAAUCAACAGUACCAUCCGCAAAUGUGCUGACAACAGUACUGACAACUAUCCAAGAGAGUCAUGCCGGUGGAACAACGAGGAACCAAAAUCAGUUAAGAGUCCUGCCGCACGGCAGCCACCCGGUGGAAGCUGUUCAGUUCUCUCAUGCUACAUGACAAAUUAUUUGUCCAAAACGUCAUCUUAUUCUGAACAGAGAUAGCAUGUAGCAGAUUCUUAGUUGAUUAGCAUUUCCUAGGACAAGAAUAAUUUUAGGAAACUUGCAAACAGAUACUCAAAACAUCACGCUUUCAUCAAACUAUGCACGUGAUUGCAUUUUAUCCAAUGCUGACACAUAGUUUUUUUUUUUGAAGAAACAGGAGGGGAGGGUCCCUACUGGUUAUACGAGAGCGAAGCAAAAGGGAAAACAGAAAAGAAAACAUACUACAAGGUGUGCAGCCUGUCAUUAUUUGUCUUACAUCAUCUCUCAGAAGAGACAGUAUGGCAUUACAUGGCCAGAGGAAAGAAGGACACUUGAACUAUAGUAGCGCACAUUCAUUAUUUGAGCCCACACGGCAUGAGAAUGACAGCAAGCAGGAGGCAGCAGCAGCAACAGAUACUCAAUGCAUCUGGGAGAGGCCAAGAAUCCCAACGCUGAUCAGGGAGAGGCCGAGGAGGAGCAGAGCAAACAUGCCGAAGCAGAGCACCUGGCCUGCUUCGCCGGAGACCGCCGUGACGGCGCAGGAAGCCAUCACGAGCCCCACGACGGCGAGGUUGCGACCAAGGAACUCUGCGAGAGCACGCGCCUCGGCCAACACCGCCGGGACGACGGGCGCCAGGAUGCCGACGGCGACGAUGUUGGCGCCGGCGAGAACCCCCGCGAAGCAGAGCAGCAAGCCGAAUCCGCCGGCGCCGGAGUUGAAUCCGGCGCUGACGGAGAACAGCAAGAUGGCGAGGCCGGCGAACAUCGCCGUGGUGCCCGGAGUGGUCAUCGUCGGCCGCGUGGCACCGCAGUCCCCUGCUUAAUUGGAGAGGGCCGUCGAGCGAGCAGGCGAGGCACCGCCGCACCGGGGAGGGAAGCGUUGCCGAAGAGGCAAAGAAUGCAGCGGGAGGAGGAGGAGGAUGAGCUGGGCGGUGCGCAGCGGACGGGGAGAGCCGGAGGAGCGAGAUGGUUGGGGUAGGGGAGGCCGGGGAGGGCAUUUAUACCGGGGAAGGGGAGAGGUAGCCGGGCUGGGACGAGGCCUAAAGGUGGCAACGGACAUUAGUUUUAUACCGAGAGGUGGCCGGGCCGCCGGCCCGCCGGGUGCAAAGUCUGAUAAAUGAUGCGUGGGGUCCGCCGUGGUGUCGACAACCCUCACCUGCCGCCUGGGCGUAGGAAGUGUUAAGGAAGUAAGCAAUUACUAGCCAUACACUAUUAAGAUAUAACAUAUUUUUCAAAGAGUAUAAAUAAUUAUAUAAUUUUCUAGAUUUCAAGUGUUCAACAAAUAGGCUCAAACAAUACAUAGAAUAUUGAAGGUAGAAAAGUACUAAAUUAAGAGUCUUUCAUGAAAAAAAAAGAACUAUACAUGUCUUCAUGAAUUAACACCACUUCCACUUGUUCCGACGACCUCAAUUCCACAUAAAAAUUUUCAACAUCUCAGCCCUAUAACAUUAUGUAUUGAAAUAGACUAACACAACACAAGUAAACAACACAACAACACGCACCAUGUUAAUACUAAUUACUACCGGGAUAUUUGAUUCUUAUUUAUAGUGACGAUUAUAUGUCUCUGAAGGAUAUUUGAGAUUUUUUUGUUUAUAUAAGUUUUUUUAAUACUGCCAUGUUGGGGUUGAUUACUGUUCCAAUUUGAUACAAAUUUAUUUUCUGGGAACUUGUCGGAAUAUGUUCCUAAUUUAUUGAUAGGCUUUUGGUUUAGACGGACAAAUUGCAGCUCUCGUUUCUUAAACCUUGAAAGCGCUUUUGAAUGCGGCUGGAGAUUCCCACCGUCGUGUCGUGUCGUGUCGGCAACCGAUGAGAUUGGAUUCAUAUCAUAUUGUUGCGGCCGCACUGCUUCGGAGGAAGUUGAAGAAUUGGAGAAGAAGGUAACGGACACUGGCCGGGCCGCCGUGGUGUCCAGUGGAUGUUUGGGAGGAGAGGGGUAGAGGACUAUGUAUAUCAUAUUGUUAUUGAUGCCACACUUCGUGGGAAACUCUGGGCAUCCCACAUGCGUUCUCUGAAACUCUGAAUAAAAUAUGAUUAAACCAUCCGGCGGCGCGCGCUGCCGUCGUGUCGUCGCCUGCAGCUCACUGGCGUCAAGGACAGCGCGUGGGCCCAGCUCACUGUUGACGCGCGAUGUUGCAGCUCGAGUGAACAUCGCAGUAUCGGCAUUCCACUCAGUUCAGGUCGAUGGACUGGCUGGUGGGGUCAGGUCGCGAGGACCCCGACCCAGUUCAUGAUCUGGGCUGAAACGGGCUGUUUACGUGCUACCGGCCACUUACUGGGCCUUCGGCGCAUUAGAAAUUGGGUUGUGUUUCCCCACGAACUGGGUCCGAAUAGCGGCACAACAUGGAUUCGGGCCCAGCUGGAUGUCGCUUUCCUCUCGCCUGGAAACCUCGAAUGGACACAUUUCCUAGCUGGCGCCAUUCACAAAAUGCAAUAUGAGUGCCUUAAAAUUCAAGUUGAGAUUUUGCAGUACGCCACGAUAACAUAGACAGAAUAUCAAAUGACUUCUCAGGUUAAAGCAGCAGCACAUCAUUCGCACUGUACAAAUAAUCUGCACCAGAAGCCUAACAAAAUCCUAGGCAACAAUGCAUAAUACAUGUCAACACCUAGAAGCUCUCCUUUUUAGCUUCUGCAAUACACACUCCCGGGGAAAGAUUCGCUC